Molecule: ribosomal RNA, 489 nt
Filed under: uncultured bacterium
Lineage: Bacteria
Description: partial 16S ribosomal RNA
Rfam family: Bacterial small subunit ribosomal RNA
Source: RNAcentral
GACGAACGCUGGCGGCGUGCUUAACACAUGCAAGUCGAACGGAAAGGCCCCCAUCUUGGUGGGUGUGCUCGAGUGGCGAACGGGUGAGUAACACGUGGGUGAUCUGCCCUGUACUUCGGGAUAAGCUUGGGACACUGGGUCUAAUCCCGGAUAGGACCAUGGUUUAGUGUCUCAUGGUGGAAAUAUUAUUGUUUUGGUGCAGGAUGAGCUCGCGGCCUCUCGGCUUGUUGGUGGGGUAAUGCCCUACCAAGGCGUCGACGCGUAGCCGGCCUGAGAGGGUGGACGGCUGAAUGGGGACUGGGACACGGUGCAGAUGCCAACGGGAGGCAGCAGUGAGGAAUGGUGGAAGAUGGGAGCAAGCCUGAAGGAGCGACGGCGUGUGGCAGAUAACGGGCUUCGGGGUGGAAACUCUUUGCGUUAGGGACGAAGUCGGACUUUUUUUGGGUGUGGUGACGGGACAUUGGUAAAGAAGCACCGGCUAACUACGUG